ACAGUGGACGCGAGCAUCUGUGGCCAAGUUUUUAAGGGCGCACGGUGGAUGCCUUGGCACCAGGAACCGAUGAAGGACGUGGGAGGCCACGAUAGUCCCCGGGGAGUCGUCAACCAGGCUUUGAUCCGGGGGUUUCCGAAUGGGGAAACCCGGCAGUCGUCAUGGGCUGUCACCCGCUGCUGAACACAUAGGCAGUGUGGAGGGAACGCGGGGAAGUGAAACAUCUCAGUACCCGCAGGAAGAGAAAACAACCGUGAUUCCGGGAGUAGUGGCGAGCGAAACCGGAUGAGGCCAAACC
RNAcentral lists this ribosomal RNA (298 nucleotides) under Streptomyces sp. SID335. RNAcentral describes it as "partial 23S ribosomal RNA". It matches the Rfam family "Bacterial large subunit ribosomal RNA", at positions 1 to 275 of the family's 2925-position model. RNAcentral also lists the same sequence under 2 other names. Lineage: Bacteria; Bacillati; Actinomycetota; Actinomycetes; Kitasatosporales; Streptomycetaceae. The record is from RNAcentral.